Molecule: RNase P RNA, 337 nt
Filed under: Eubacteriales bacterium OttesenSCG-928-M02
Lineage: Bacteria; Bacillati; Bacillota; Clostridia; Eubacteriales
Description: RNase P RNA component class A
Rfam family: Bacterial RNase P class A
About the family: Ribonuclease P (RNase P) is a ubiquitous endoribonuclease, found in archaea, bacteria and eukarya as well as chloroplasts and mitochondria. Its best characterised activity is the generation of mature 5'-ends of tRNAs by cleaving the 5'-leader elements of precursor-tRNAs. Cellular RNase Ps are ribonucleoproteins.
Source: RNAcentral
UGAGUAAGCCGGAUGAUCGCGGGCUUCGGCCCGAGGAAAGUCCGAGCACCGUAGGGCAGGGUGCCGGGUAACCCCCGGUGAAGGCGACUUCAAGGAAAGUGCAACAGAGAGAUACCGCGAACCCCGUUUGGGGCCGUAAGGGUGGAAAGGUGAGGUAAGAGCUCACCAGCGGCAUGGCGACUUGUCCGUUAUGUAAACCCCACCUGGUGCAAGGUUGGUAGAGGGCAGAAUGUGGCGGCCCGUCACGCCCUGGGUAACCGCUGGAGCCAUGCGGUAACGCAUGGCCUAGAUAGAUGAUCAUUCAAGACAGAACUCGGCUUACAGGCUUGCUCAUAGG